CCAAAACCUAAGUAUAUUUUUCUCUGAUUCAAGAUAUGGCGGCGAGUGGAAAUCAAAGCCCAAAUUCUUGCCCACCUUUCUAUCGACUAAACCGUCUUUCAUUCAUAUCAAUCUUCAACGAGAAACAACUUCAACCUCUGGCCAUUGUUUUGGUGGUGUAAUUGGCAAAGGAGACGAUGUUGGUGGUAGAAUCGAAAUGGGUAGAUGCUUAAUUGGUGGUGGAUCAUGUACUAGAUGGCGUUUUUGGUGGUGGAAUUGGAAUGUGUUGCGAUGUAAUCGGAAGGCUUGGUGGUAGAUCUUCUCAAUCAGGUCAUUGAUAUUCUAGCGAGGGAGUAGGUGAUUCAGCAAUGGUAUUACUGCUGCUUCAGGUAUAUCAGCUGAACUAGGAAUUUUGUUGAGGCAUCGCAACUAGUGUUAGAUAUCUCACCAGUCACCGGACACUCAAGGAAUGGGGGAACUGAUCUGUUGUAUGUAGCAGAGAAUGUUGUUGACCCUGAAUGUACCCUAGUUGUAUAUAUGGGUUUGGCAACACUUCCUGCUUGUCCAGAAAUUGGCACAACAUGGCCUGCCUAAUGAUACUCAUGUUGUUGCAGUGGAAAGAGGGACAACUGCUCAACAACAUUUGGUUUUGAAGAGAGUAAAGAGUUUCCUAUCGUCUGGCACACAGUCGUUGCGGGGCGAUACUGCAUUACUAAGUACCUGGGUUCUGCGGCUUUCAGCAAAGUUGUUUAGGCUCAUGAUAUCCAGACUGGAGUUUAUGCUUGCUAAAAGUCAUUAAAAAUGACAGAUUUUAUUUGUAAAAGUUUGGAUGAAAUCGAACUUCUCAAGUAUGUCAACAAGAAUGAUCCUGCGGAUAAGCACCACAUUUUACAUCUCUGUGACUACUUUUACCAUCAGGUUUGUACAAUGUGUGGGAAUCUCUAUGACUACUUUUACCUUCCCCUGACUAUGCUGGUCUUAAUUACUGUUGUUUCAUCUGUUAAUUAUGAAGUAUAACAUGAAAAGGGUUCUAUUGAAAUUUUAUGCACUAAAAAAAAUCUCCUGUAAAGAAGCUGGCCAAUGCCUAGUAAGUUAGUAGCCUUAGUAAAGAAAUCUAGUGGAUAAUUUGGUCAUAAGCUAAAGAAAUAAUUUUAUCUGUUAGUGUUAUGUUCAAAAUCAAAGCAACCUUGUUUAUAUUAACUAAAAAGAUCAACCUAUUUUGACAUUCAUUGUGAAAU
Spinacia oleracea (spinach) is the source of this 1217-nucleotide long non-coding RNA. RefSeq lists it as uncharacterized. The transcript is spliced from 4 exons. The record is from RefSeq and is a predicted model, not a curated record. NCBI's taxonomy places the organism in Eukaryota, Viridiplantae, Streptophyta, Magnoliopsida, Caryophyllales, Amaranthaceae.